This 1574-nucleotide ribosomal RNA is filed under the name Triticum aestivum (bread wheat). Its description in RNAcentral is "partial small subunit ribosomal RNA". The record is from RNAcentral. Lineage: Eukaryota; Viridiplantae; Streptophyta; Magnoliopsida; Poales; Poaceae.
UGACACUUCUUGUAUCUGAAUCCUUCCUCUGCAAUCCAUCCCUCCUUUUUCCUCUCCAAGUCACUCUCUCCUCUCGUCCCUAUCUGUGAUCCCCUUCUCCUCUCUUCCUUCCUUCCUGGGGUGUUACAUGGAGAGGAUGAAGUCCGACAAGAAUUGACCCGACCUGUCGGGCAGAAGCCACCGAAGAGGAUGACCUCCGUCAAGAAUUCAGCCGACCCGCCCCAGGUGGCCCUCUAGCCGGAUCCGCUCCUCCGGCAAGAACCCCUUCCCGAGCACGACCACGCUUCCCCGAGCAGGACGGCGAGCACGAGAUCAUCAGAGAGGAUGAACUCGGUCAAUUCAUCCAUCCGCAAGCUUCAGCGAGAUCGGCGGAGCUGCGUUCGGAAAGAGCUCAACCAGAUGCAAGCCCGGCGAGCUCCGGCGAGGUGCAUGAGUGAGGUCGGCUGGCUUCAAAAUCCGUCAAGGUUGGUGCAAGAAGAGGACGGGGAGCUCCGGCAAGGUUAGUGCGAGGAGGUUCCUCCAGCAAGAUGUGCAUGGCCACCAGUUCGUGCCCAGCACCUCCGCUGGACUGGCUUCCCCACCCAGACGAAGAGGGCGCCGGGGCGGAGCAAGCGGUUCACCUCGAGCAGCAGCAGCUUGCCUCCCUGGAUGUGGCACGGCACCGCGUGUAGUGCGCGAGCAUGAACUGCAGAGAUGGUCGGAGUUAUAUUUAUCAGUAGUUUCUACACUAUGCUUUGUGAAAUAUCUCUAUUAUGUACCUCCCUCACAAACAUUCAUGGCAGCUUAGCAAAUGUAGAUGAUUUUUAUCUAAACUUUUGGAACUGGAUACCAAAAGCGUACCUACUUCCUACUUUGCAUAAACAGGUGAGUUGUUCUGUACAGACUCCAUAAUUGUACUGUACAGACCAAAUGUUCUGUUGUUCAUAUACAUGAACAGGUGAGUUGUUCUCACUCUAUGACAUUGUCCCAUUUAAGCUUUCUUAGAUUUGAAGCAAUGUGUCCAUUGCAUUAUCUAACAAUGUUUGAGGAACAGUGCGUAGCUAGGUAAAGUAAACUAGCGGUCUAGAAGACAUACAUCUUCACUAAGAUUUCUGAAUUCUUCAGAAUACGCAAUCACCAAUGCAGGAGCCAAAUAUACAUUAGAACUUUCAAGGCAGUUUUCCAGCUAAAUGCAAAUUAGAGGGAUUAAGAAAGUAAGGAAAGACCAUACAACAGAUCGCCAUAACAUAAGAGGAGUGAUGUAAUGGAAAAAGGAAAUUAAGUUGGUACAUGUCUUGCAGUUUCUAUCAGAUUGGCGUCAAAAUUCAUCCGAAAGUAGAGAAUAAGCAGACAACAUCCACGUGGUCAAGCAUUCGAAUCCUCCUGUCCUCUCGCGCCAAGGAAAUUCAGACUGAUUUGCAUGCACUGUAUGUUGUAUGAACAUGGAGGUGCAGUCACCCGAGGUGAAGAAGCUCCAUCACCUACCUCUACCUCCUCCACUAUGCUGACAAGUAAUGCUUAAAUCUUUUAAGUAAUAAAGCGCCCCUUUUCGAAAAAAUUACUUCCUCCCUGCCUGUGAUUUAUUACUUCGAGCC